CUGUCCUGCAGUUGUUUGUGACGCAAGAGGUCACUCACUAUAUGCCGUGUGCUUCCCAAGCGGCGAAAAGGAAGUUCUUCAUGCAAGGAACUCCCAAUUAUUAAGCAUAAACACCGAAGCGGAGGGAGAGAUAAGGGGCCAGGAACAACACACGGCAAAUUGUCUAACUGAUGCGUACACAGCUUGAUUCGCUGAUUCGCUGGAGGCGAUGGUGCAGGAGUGAGGGCCAGCGGAUGUCGCUCCCGGGGCUUACUGGAUAACUCAGGAUAAUAAAACCAAGCACUGCAACAAGGGGGGGAAGCCUGCUGCAAUGUGAAGGAGGCCUUGGGAGAAAUAAAGGUCCGGGAAGUGUGGAAGAUUGUCAAGUGACAUUUGGAAGUGGUGUAACUGAAAAAGCUACAGAGCCAACAGAAGAUAGUACCCACCUCCUUCCAGGUCUGUCUUUGAAAAAGCUCACAGACAGAAGCUCCACCAACUGGUGGAAUUGCCCUGGAAUUCUGCAAUACCACAGAUGGGGAGGCUUGAAUAUUCCUGGACUGACUCAGCCUGUUCACUUUGCCUGGCUUGUAAGACAAUAGACGAUUCUUUCUUGCUCGUGGAGAUCCAAAAUUAAAAGUAAA
Pipra filicauda (Wire-tailed manakin) is the source of this 620-nucleotide long non-coding RNA. RefSeq lists it as uncharacterized. The record is from RefSeq and is a predicted model, not a curated record. Lineage: Eukaryota; Metazoa; Chordata; Aves; Passeriformes; Pipridae. The transcript is spliced from 3 exons.